GAGUUUUGCCGGUGCACCCAAAAUGUCUCCCCCGGUCCCCCAGGUCUGGGUUGUGGCGCCGCUGCGGCUUCUGUGAGUCGAGUUGUCCGCGAUCUCCCGCGUGGCCCCCCUCCCGCGCUAGCUGUGGUUCCGGGGUGUUGCCUCGGGAUGGGGAAAGCGUAGCGUUUCUUCGCAGCCCCCAUCCCCCAAGCCGGCGACGUUGCGGGCUCUGCGUAGCUGCCGCUGUGACUCACCUCCUUCCUCCUGGCAGAGACCUGUGUGGCCGCAGCUUUCAGCUGAGGGCCCUGGACCGUAUCCUUCAUCUCCCUCUCAAGGUGUGUUCUCAGGAGCAGUCCGGCACCAUCUUCGGGUUUGAUUCCAGGAUCCUCGUGUGUAAAUAAGAAUUUUUGAAACCACUUGUGCAGGAGACUUGCAGAGCUUGGAGGGCUGGACCAGGAUGGAGAGGAGUGAUAAGCCUUGCCCCUGGAAGAUCUGUUGAGCUCGCUGCCUGGAAGACAGGGCACGCGUCCAGGCCCGCCACACGCAGGUUGGCCUCCCCAGCUGGUACAGAGAGAAGUCUGGACCUUCUUCCGUUUGCUGUCAUCUGUGUUUACUGAGUAGACUUUGUGUUGAUUACUGGGACCCAGUGUGUCUGAGGGUUGUAGACUGAACGAAUACCAGGCGCCAGACAUACAGUGCUGCUCCCGUACAUCUGACCCCACGACAAAGGAAGAGAGGCCCCGCGCUUGGCAGCUUCCUGGAACGUCUCAGAAGAUCUGGAGUCCGGAAGGAGAGAACAGGUCUGCAAGGAAGAGAUUCUGUUAAGAGAAUAGAUCUUCAGACUUCUUUUUAUACACAGGAAAGGUAACUGUGUGAGGUGAGGAGUGUAUUACAAUUACCUUAAUUGUGAUCAUCAUUUCACAAUGUGUAUGUAUAUCAAAUCGUAUUACGCACUUUAAUUCUAUACAAUUUUAACAAUUAAAAAGAAAGCUGGGAAAAAAUACAAAUAAAAUGUCAAGCAGAUCCCUUGAUGGGUGGUUCUGUUGAGUUCAGCUUUAUCCUUGCUGACUGUCUGCCUACUGUGUCUGUCAGUUACUAAUAGAGGGAGUGUGGAAAUACCUCACGUUAAUAGUGGGUAAUCUAUUUCUCUGCAUUUUUGUCAGUUUUUGCCUCUUGUAUUGUGACGCUUUGUUGUAAAGUGCAUAUAUUUCAAAGAUUAUUGUGUCUUCUCAGAGAAUCGACCCUCCCUUAUUAUGUAACACCCUCUUUAUUCCUUGGAAGUUUCCUUGUUCAAAUGCCUUUUUUGUCUGAAAUUAGUAUCGCUACUCCAGCUUUCAUUUGAUUAGUGCCCCUGGUACCCCUCUCCCCGCUCUUUUACUCUCAAUAUUUGUGUGUUUUUAUAUUUAAAUUGGGUUUCUUAUAGACACCAUAGAGUCCGGUCUUGUUUUUCACCUACCCUUACAGUGUCUUCUUUUAACUGGCGUAUUUAGAGCACACCCGUUUAAAGUGAUUAUUGAUAGUUGGAUUUAUAUCUACCAUGUUUGUCAAAAUUCUGUAUUUGUUGCACUUGUUCUUUGUUUUUUUCUUAAUCUUUCUGUUUCUGCCUUCUCUUCUAAUUGAGCAUUUUUUAUUAUUCCAUUUUCUCUUCUCUCUCAGCGUAUCAGUUAUAUUUCUUUUUAACUUUUUAGUGGUUUCCCUAGACCUAGACUGCGCAACAUAAAUUUACAACUAAUCUAGGUCCGCCUUCAGACAACACUGCACCACUGUCUGGGCAGUGUGGGUGUAACAGAGAAUCCCCAGCUCCCCACUCCCAUCCCUUCAUAACACUGCUACCGUCUCUUGCACUGACCUCCGCUAUGAUCACCCGUAUGUUGUGGCUGUUAUUCCUUUGAACAGUUGUCCUUUAGAGUAAA
Mustela erminea (ermine) is the source of this 1892-nucleotide long non-coding RNA. RefSeq lists it as uncharacterized. NCBI's taxonomy places the organism in Eukaryota, Metazoa, Chordata, Mammalia, Carnivora, Mustelidae. The record is from RefSeq and is a predicted model, not a curated record. The transcript is spliced from 4 exons.